GCCAUGUGACUCUCCCGGUUGCACUGUAAGUCCCAGCUUUUGCCGACAGAUAAGUCCUUACGGAGGGUCUGGGACAACAUGACCAACAGUCAUUUGUACAAUAGCCCUAUGUUCCAUUUAUCAUAAUCAUGUUUAAUCAAUUAACCAUGGUUCCAUCACUGAUUUCAGAUCAUAUAUAAUUGGAGUUAGAGCACUAGCACUUCUACCCAUAUGCAAUAAAAACCCUUGAGAACAAGGUAAUUGUCAUCAACAGCUAGGAUGUUCUUAUAGUUUGCAAUAUUGUACACAUGCAGGGUGAAAUGCUUAAAAAUGAGUAGGACAACAAGGUAGGCACAUGCUAUACUUGCCUUGGUUCACGUACUCCUGCUGGUCUUGCUGGUCCCCAAAGAGCUCCGGACUCCCGAAAUACUCCUCAUCGUAUGAGCUCGACCAACACAUCACAAUCAUCACGCAUACCAAGACAAACGUGCAAGAGAACAAUUCCUAAAGUUAGAACAGUACACCAGCAGUAAAUAAAUUAAAUAAAAGUUUUCCAAAAUCAUCUACGUGCUGCUACGAUCACGUCAACGCGAAAUUCACGAAAAACGGACUUACGACGCGAAAGUUACGCUCUUAACGGGAUUUCGACAGCAAUCUACGGACUUGUAAUUAACUAGAAAAUCUAACAGUGGUAAACCUAAACAACAGUGGUACCAACACGAAGCUUACGAAAUUACGAACCUAACGCAACUUGAACGGAUCAAUUCGGAGUUCAAACGACGAUUUUAUAGCUAAAACAAUAUGGUGGCAAUUCUGUAAAUAAAGCAGAGUUUAAACGAAUUUAAAUAAAUAAAUUAAAUUCUGGAAAUUCCUCUGGCCGAGGACUGCACGCACGAAAAUGGAAUCCCUGAGGGGCUCUUUAACAAAAUAUCAUAUGAAGGGGUACGGGGCAUUGUAGGCCGUUGGAUCACAGAUGAACGCGCUGGAUUAAAAGAAAAAAAAUAAAAAAAAGAGAGAGAGAGGAAGGGGACGGCGCACAGGCCAGCUCCGGCCAGAACACGGUGGCCACCAUGGCCGGCCGCAAGGAAGCUCGCCGGAGCAAGAGAAUAAGGACCUACGGUGCAUGGUUUUCGAUUCCGUUUGAACUGAGAGAAAGAGGAGAGUGAUGCGAGUCCAUUCCACCCCAUAAACGCGGUCGAGGAGGCGGUUUCCGAGAAGGUUCACGGCGGCGCUAUGAACGUCCCAUCGGAGCUCGCGGAACAGGGACUCCGGGCCACGAUUCACUCGGCAACAGGACGGGGAGGGAGCGGGAAGGGAGAUGAAGCUCACCACGGUGCCAAAUCGCAGCGAAAACAGCUCGGAACGGCGGCCUACGCGCGGCCGACGAAGAACUUCCCGGCGACGGUUCUCUGCGCAGAAACGAGCGGGCCACGGGCAAGGAGAAGAGAGAAUGGGGGAGGGGGAGUGCUCGGGUGCGCGAGGGGCUCUCCAACUUGAAGACCGAGGCGCGGGGAGAGGAGAACGUGGGCGCGGGGGCUUCGGCCUGGUGGUUCCAACCGAGAGAAAGGUUCGGGGGCGACGGUUUGGGGGCAGGGAUAGAGCUGACAAGUGGGCCCUACUCGUCAGUGGAAGAGAGAGAGGGAGUUAGGGUGCUGGCGCGCUGCUGGAAUUGGGCCAAGCAGGCCGAAAAUGAGGGGAAGGGAGAGAGAAAAGUUUUUCCUUUUUAUUUUCCAACAAAUUUUUCAAACUCUUUUCCAAAUGAAUUUUUGAAUUCAAAUUCCUUUCUUCAAAACCACUCAUCACAUAAAACAAAUGCACCAGCAUGUAUGCAACAAAAUAUUAGCCUGACUUAUAUUUAAUUUUAAUUUCUCCAAAUUUUUUUAUUUUCCUAUAUUAAAAAUGCUCACAAAAUUAUUUAAUAAAGUCAAAUUCAUCUAUUUUUAAAAGAGCCAAAUUUUGGGUGUUACAAUUUGUCACACCCAAUUUCAAGGAAGAAAUUGAAUGCAUAAAGUUAUGUGUGCCCAGAGAUCAAUCACACACAUAAGUCACAAAUUAAAUACCAUCAACGUAGUGUUUACAACAAACGUAGUAUUACAUCACAAACUCUGGCAUAACAGCGGAAAUAUAAAUAUGAUAAUCUAAGAUAACUAUCUCAUGGCCCCUCACACAGGGAAGGUCGACUGGUGAAGCACAAGCCUAAUAGUCCUCCGGGUAGUCCUCAUAGCUACCACUAUUUGUUACCCAUCCGGGAUUUUUAUCCAAAGAAAAGAAAUAUACAAGCGUGAGUACAUCUCGUACUCCACAAGCAUAGCAUGAGGAUUUAUGAGGCUCAAACAGGCUAAAUUAGGUUCACUGCAUCAGCUUUUAGUAGAUCAGUGUUUUAUCAUUAAUUAUUAUGGUUUAUGCUUAAGCUUCCAAAUAUCCCAUAUGAUCAGUUAUUAGAACCAUAGUAAGUCAUUAAGUCACAUUAAAGUAUAAUUGUACAUCAUCAUGUACCAUAAAGCCAUCAGUAACCAGUUAUUCUGUGAGUUUUCCGGUCCGCUCGUGACCGUGAGCACGGCUGUUAUAACAGUUAUCCACUCUGCAGAGGUUGUGCACUUUCACCGUGAGUCGUGUUGCCCAUAUGUCCGGGAUCCGUCGACCCCCAAACACUACCAAGGUGAGCGGGCAGGGUACACUAUGAAGUCUUCCAUAGGCCUAUUCUAACCAGUUAGGGCCGUGAGGUUUCCUCGGCAGUCAGAUGUAGAAAACCUCCCUUUUCUAUGGCACAUUUCCAUCGCGGCUAUACUCAUAGAAACAAGGGCAGCCCUACACCCAAAGUGGCAAGCGCCUCUUGCGCCCUUUCGGGUAACCUCUAACGAGUUAGAAAAGAUCCUAUUACUGAGCUAAAGUCAGAGCCAUGUGACUCUCCCGGUUGCACUGUAAGUCCCAGCUUUUGCCGACAGAUAAGUCCUUACGGAGGGUCUAGGACAACAUGACCAACAGUCAUUUGUACCAUAGCUCUAUGUUCCAUUUAUCAUAAUCAUGUUUAAUCAAUUAACCAUGGUUCCAUCACUGAUUUCAGAUCAUAUAUAAUUGGAGUUAGAGCACUAGCACUUCUACCCAUAUGCAAUAAAAACCCUUGGGAACAAGGUAAUUGUCAUCAACAGCUAGGAUGUCCUUAUAGUUUGCAAUAUUGUACACAUGCAGGGUGAAAUGCUUAAAAAUGAGUAGGACAACAAGGUAGGCCCAUGCUAUACUUGCCUUGGUUCACGUACUCCUACUGGUCUUGCUGGUCCCCAAAGAGCUCCGGACUCCCAAAAUACUCCUCACCGUGUGAGCUCGACCAACACAUCACAAUCAUCACGCAUACCAAGACAAACAUGCAAGAGAUCAAUUCCUAAAGUUAGAACAGUACACCAGUAGUAAAUAAAUUAAAUAAAAGUUUUCCAAAAUCAUCUACGUGCUGCUACGAUCACGUCAACGCGAAAUUCACGAAAAACGGACUUAUGACGCGAAAGUUACGCUCUUAACGGGAUUUCAACAGCAAUCUACGGACUUGUAAUUAACUAGGAAAUCUAACAGUGGUAAACCUAAACAACAGUGGUACCAAUGCGAAGCUUACGAAAUUACGAAACUAACGCAACUUGAACGGAUCAAUUCGGAGUUCAAACGACGAUUUUAUAGCUAAAACAAUAUGGUGGCAAUUCUGUAAAUAAAGCAGAGUUUAAACGAAUUUAAAUAAAUAAAUUAAAUCCUAGAAAUUCCUCUGGCCGAGGACUGCACGCGCGAAAAUGGGAUUCCUGGGGGGCUCUUUAACAAAAUAUCAUAUGAAGGGGUACGGGGCAUUGUAGGCCGUUGGAUCACAGAUGAACGCGCUGGAUUAAAAGAAAAAAAAUAGAAAAAAGAGAGAGAGGAAGGGGACGGCGCACAGGCCAGCUCCGGCCAGAACACGGUGGCCACCAUGGCCGGCCGCAAGGAAGCUUGCCGGAGCAAGAGAAUAAGGACCUACGGUGCAUGGUUUUCGAUUCCGUUUGAACUGGGAGAAAGAGGAGAGCGAUGCGAGUCCAUUCCACCCCAUAAACGCGGUCGAGGAGGCGGUUUCCGAGAAGGUUCAUGGCGGCGCCAUGAACGUCCCGUCGGAGCUCGCGGAACAGGGACUUCGGGCCACGAUUCACUCGGCAACAGGACGGGGAGGGAGCGGGAAGGGAGAUGAAGCUCACCACGGUGCCAAAUCGCAGCGAAAACGACUCGGAACGGCGGCCUACGCGCGGCCGACGAAGAACUUCCCGGCGACGGUUCUCUGCGCAGAAACGAGCGGGGCAUGGGCAAGGAGAAGAGAGAAUGGGGGA
RNAcentral lists this long non-coding RNA (4310 nucleotides) under Sorghum bicolor (sorghum). Its description in RNAcentral is "long non-coding RNA (SBIC_LNC008017)". The record is from RNAcentral. Lineage: Eukaryota; Viridiplantae; Streptophyta; Magnoliopsida; Poales; Poaceae.